AAAUUCUCAACUGCUUUUGGGUUUCAAAAGUGAAGUUGGAUCUUGGAGCGUUUGCUGGACGGGGGUCCGGCUCCUCUCAAUAACAUCUUGGUAGAUCUCUCGGCAUCUUCGACGUGAUAACGUUUUCUUACGUUGUAGAUGUUGCUACUGCCACAUUUUAUAGUGGGCGACUUCAUUCAU
This 180-nucleotide unclassified non-coding RNA is filed under the name uncultured Agaricomycetes. RNAcentral's name for it is "sequence contains ITS2". Lineage: Eukaryota; Fungi; Basidiomycota; Agaricomycetes. The record is from RNAcentral.